This 677-nucleotide long non-coding RNA is filed under the name Chinchilla lanigera (long-tailed chinchilla). RNAcentral's name for it is "lncRNA (ENSCLAG00000022575.1)". The record is from RNAcentral. Lineage: Eukaryota; Metazoa; Chordata; Mammalia; Rodentia; Chinchillidae.
UGCUUAUCUCCUUACUUCCAAAGGCAUGUUGACCUUGAUGAAGACAAAACUCCAUAACUGGCACAUGAACCAGCAUCACUGGAAACCAUAACAAAGUCACUACGUAAGAACCGCAGCAGAGUAUGUUCUACAACCAGGCAAGGAGGCCACAUGUCCCAUCAAAGGUGGCGAGGAAGGGCGCUCACGGAGGUGAGACCGACCGGCUGGGCUGUGGAGGGUGUUAGGACAAAAGAAAGGGAAGCCAAGCUCCACGGAAGAGGGUCUGUGGGAUUCACUGGAAUAAACCUGAGAGGAGCUGCAGUUGAUGGAUUCCACUGACAGAACCACGGAGACCGAGAGCUGGCCCUGCACAGUGACGUUUCCAGAUGUCCCUGAGGGCAAGGUGUACGAAGAGCCCACAGAUAUGGCCUGGAGGAGCAGUCAGAAGUCCGCCAGUGAGCUGAGGAUGGGUGGUACUGACAGAGAGGACUGAGGGCCUGUGUGAGGGGAGGACUCACAUGGACGUGAAGCAUGAUUUGCCAGCCAGAGGACACCACAGCCGCUGCCCCCUGGAAAGAGACCAGCAAUGUUCUGACUGGCUUCCCGGCUUUGAUCUCGUUAGUUCAGAGGCUCCUAACAGAAGCCCCAGAUGUUUUAUGAUCUGUUUAAUAUGCAAGGAAGAAAAGACCUGGAACUGA